Bufo gargarizans (Asiatic toad) is the source of this 1271-nucleotide long non-coding RNA. RefSeq lists it as uncharacterized. NCBI's taxonomy places the organism in Eukaryota, Metazoa, Chordata, Amphibia, Anura, Bufonidae. The transcript is spliced from 6 exons. The record is from RefSeq and is a predicted model, not a curated record.
UUCAAGCACAGCUAGGUUUCUGGUCAAAACACGACCGCUGGAUGACACUGGCAGCUCUGACCUGAUGCUGUGACUGCUGCUACCACUCCACCUUCUUCUGUUGCUACUUCUGUCAGCUACAGUAACAUUUUUGCCACUGCUGUUUCCCUUUGAAGGCCCUGGCACUGGUCCAGAGCUUGUCACAUCUCUCCCUAUUCUCAAUUCAAAGUUAAAUGGAGGCGACCAUGUGGACUUCUUACUUUCACUUUAUGGUAACUGGAAAAAAAAUAUUUUCAGAUCACUCUAGGCGCUGCCAGAAUAUGGAUUAAAGGAACAUCAGGAGUGAUGCGGUAGAUUCACGAUAAUCUUUAUUCACAGGGUUGUCAACGCAUUUUUGGGACGGUGCAUCCUCUUCAUCAGGACAGUAAUUUACAGUGAUCUGAAAAUAUAUUUUUUUCAGUUACCUGUCGAGCCUGUUGUUUGCUUUGGAGCUACACAGAGGACCACAGCUGCAGCCAAGGAUAAAACCGCCUACUGGUCGGGAUCAUAAAUAACCAAAAAAGCUAUUUACAGCCGUUGUGACUCUUCACAACGCGAUCUGUGAGAACAAAUUGGUUCCUUUCUACUUGAUGCCUCCUCGUUGGACCUGGCUGGUUAAUUUUGAUGUUUCAUUUGGAUUUCUGUUCUGGUUGAGAAGCACAACUCGUGCUUAUUCACAAUCAAAUUUUGUGAGAACAAAUUGGUUCCUUUCUACUUGAUGCCUCCUCGUUGGACCUGGCUGGUUAAUUUUGAUGCUUCAUUUGGAUUUCUGUUCUGGUUAAGAAGCAUGACUCGUUCCUUUUCACAUUCAAAUUUUGUGAGAACAAAUUGGUUCCUUUCUACUUGAUGCCUCCUCGUUGGACCUGGCUGGUUAAUUUUGAUGUUUUAUUUGGAUUUCUGUUCUUGUUAAGAAGCACAACUCGUACUUAUUCACAAUCAAAUUUCAGUGAUUUACCAAGAUAUGGGUCAAGAAGCUUAUGCCUUAUGUGGAGAAUCUUUGUUCUGGAACGCUUUUAACAUUUUUUUCUAUAUUUUAUAUGGAGGUCAAAUUUAUGCAGACAUUCAGAAGAGUUUACAAACUUUCAAGCACCACUGUAUGUGAUAAAUACCUACCAUUUUGAAAAGCUGUGGAAAGAAAUCUUGAUCACUCCUAUCUGCACCUGAAAUGUUAGUCUAAUGACAUUAUAUAUAGUAAUUGAGUUGUAUAUUUUGUGUGAAGGCUACAGGAAAAUUAAAGAUUCUGAUUAUCCUUU